UUGAGUAAUAUAAAUCCAAGAUCUCAUUCUCCUCGAUCAAAAUCAGUGUGAUAGAUAGCUUUGGAUCAACUAUCAUAAAUUUCAAGAUUAACACUAGAUAAGUGACUGAGUAAAAUCUCAUAUUGAAAUUAUCAUCUUGAUGCAUGUUCGCUCGAGGUUGGAUCAGGAUCGAUUCACAACAGGAUUGAUUAAAAUUAGUUGUGUUUGGGAUAGAACUUGAAAUGAAAUAGAUCUCAUACACUUAUCAUGGUAGUGUGCUGAUCCCUCAAAGGAUAAUGACCAACCUUAGAGUCAAAUCAUUAUAUUGCUAAGAAUAUGAUUCAUAAAAUGAACAUGUACUAAUGAUCAUUAGAUAGCAACGAUUUAUCUCAAAAAUGAUUUGCAUCAAAUCACAAAAGCAGGUCUAAGAAGACAGUAUUGAUACCAUGAUUCAAUAUGCCACAAAGCUUUUAACUUAAACUUAUAAAUCAUAAGAUGAGAGCAAUUAAUGCAUGGUUUAUUCAGAUACUUAA
RNAcentral lists this long non-coding RNA (512 nucleotides) under Phoenix dactylifera (date palm). Its description in RNAcentral is "long non-coding RNA (PDAC_LNC012995)". The record is from RNAcentral. Lineage: Eukaryota; Viridiplantae; Streptophyta; Magnoliopsida; Arecales; Arecaceae.